Long non-coding RNA from Zea mays, 131 nucleotides. RefSeq lists it as uncharacterized. The record is from RefSeq and is a predicted model, not a curated record. NCBI's taxonomy places the organism in Eukaryota, Viridiplantae, Streptophyta, Magnoliopsida, Poales, Poaceae. The transcript has 2 exons.
CCUAUCUGUUUGCAGAGGUUCAUUGACCAGAAGGUUGGUGCAGGGGAGAGUGUGUUGUGGACUCAACAACAAAUCGAGAGAGGUUUCACAGCUAUUGAGAACCUGAUACAACUAAAAGGAUGCGCCGGGAA